RNAcentral lists this unclassified non-coding RNA (520 nucleotides) under uncultured Entrophospora. RNAcentral's name for it is "SSU rRNA". It matches the Rfam family "Eukaryotic small subunit ribosomal RNA", at positions 569 to 1085 of the family's 1831-position model. The record is from RNAcentral. Lineage: Eukaryota; Fungi; Glomeromycota; Glomeromycetes; Entrophosporales; Entrophosporaceae.
AGCAGCCGCGGUAAUUCCAGCUCCAAUAGCGUAUAUUAAAGUUGUUGCAGUUAAAAAGCUCGUAGUUGGAUUUCGGGAUUGACACAUCGGUCGUGCCUUAAGGGGUAUGAACUGGUGUAGUCAAUUUCUCACCUUCUGGAGAACCGCGAUGCCCUUAAUUGGGUGUCGCGGGGAACCAGGACCUUUACUUUGAAAAAAUUAGAGUGUUUAAAGCAGGCAUUUUGCUUGAAUACAUUAGCAUGGAAUAAUAAAAUAGGACGGCAUGAUUCUAUUUUGUUGGUUUCUAGGAUCACCGUAAUGAUUAAUAGGGAUAGUUGGGGGCAUUAGUAUUCAAUUGUCAGAGGUGAAAUUCUUGGAUUUAUUGAAGACUAACUACUGCGAAAGCAUUUGCCAAGGAUGUUUUCAUUAAUCAAGAACGAAAGUUAGGGGAUCGAAGACGAUCAGAUACCGUCGUAGUCUUAACCAUAAACUAUGCCGACUAGGAAUCAGACGAUGUUAAUUUUUAAUGUACUCGUUGGCU